CAGCAGCCACGGUAAUACGAAGGGGGCUAGCGUUGUUCGGAAUUACUGGGCGUAAAGCGCACGUAGGCGGCUUGGUAAGUUAGAGGUGAAAGCCCGGAGCUCAACUCCGGAAUUGCCUUUAAGACUGCCGAGCUAGUAGGUGAGAGAGGUAAGUGGAAUUCCCAGUGUAGAGGUGAAAUUCGUAGAUACCGGGAGGAACGCCGAUGGCGAAGGCAGCCACCUGGUCCACUUCUGACGCUGAGGCGCGAAAGCGUGGGGAGCAAACCGGAUUAGAGACCCCUGUAGUCCCUGUCUCUUAUAC
Molecule: ribosomal RNA, 301 nt
Filed under: uncultured bacterium
Lineage: Bacteria
Description: partial 16S ribosomal RNA
Rfam family: Bacterial small subunit ribosomal RNA
Source: RNAcentral